Molecule: ribosomal RNA, 941 nt
Filed under: Bacteria baculus
Lineage: Eukaryota; Metazoa; Arthropoda; Insecta; Phasmatodea; Diapheromeridae
Description: SSU rRNA
Rfam family: Eukaryotic small subunit ribosomal RNA
Source: RNAcentral
AAGCAGCAGGCACGCAAAUUACCCACUCCCGGCACGGGGAGGUAGUGACGAAAAAUAACGAUACGGGACUCAUCCGAGGCCCCGUAAUCGGAAUGAGCACACUUUAAAGACUUUAACGAGUAUCCAUUGGAGGGCAAGUCUGGUGCCAGCAGCCGCGGUAAUUCCAGCUCCAAUAGCGUAUAUUAAAGUUGCUGCGGUUAAAAAGCUCGUAGUUGGACUUGUGUCCCGCGCUGUCGGUUCACCGUUCGUCGGUGUCUAACUGGCAUGCCGCGCGGACGUCCUGCUGGUGGACGCGGUCGGCCGCGGGCCCCUGGCUCGCGCGUCGGCGGUCCGGUGCAAUCCUACCGCGGUGCUCUUCACCGAGUGUCGAGGUGGGCCAGCACGUUUACUUUGAACAAAUUAGAGUGCUUAAAGCAGGCAUGGAUUCGCCUGAAUACUGUGUGCAUGGAAUAAUGGAAUAGGACCUCGGUUCUAUUUCGUUGGUUUCUGGAACCCGAGGUAAUGAUUAAUAGGGACAGACGGGGGCAUUCGUAUUGCGACGUUAGAGGUGAAAUUCUUGGAUCGUCGCAAGACGAACCUAAGCGAAAGCAUUUGCCAUGGAUGUUUUCAUUAAUCAAGAACGAAAGUUAGAGGUUCGAAGGCGAUCAGAUACCGCCCUAGUUCUAACCAUAAACUAUGCCAGCCAGCGAUCCGCCGACGUUCCAACUAUGACUCGGCGGGCAGCCCCCGGGAAACCAAAGCUUUUGGGUUCCGGGGGAAGUAUGGUUGCAAAGCUGAAACUUAAAGGAAUUGACGGAAGGGCACCACCAGGAGUGGAGCCUGCGGCUUAAUUUGACUCAACACGGGAAACCUCACCAGGCCCGGACACCGGAAGGAUUGACAGAUUGAGAGCUCUUUCUUGAUUCGGUGGGUGGUGGUGCAUGGCCGUUCUUAGUUGGUGG